Molecule: long non-coding RNA, 1356 nt
Organism: Phasianus colchicus (ring-necked pheasant)
Lineage: Eukaryota; Metazoa; Chordata; Aves; Galliformes; Phasianidae
Source: Ensembl
UGUAGAAUUGGUGGAAAAAGUCAGAAAAUGAAGGAAAGGAGAAGCAGUCUGUAGAAAACAACUCGAGAGGAAGUUACAAAAGUGUUGCAAUAGUUGCUCCAGGCACAGUGCAGAAAUGGAAAACAAGGUGAAAGGAAUAGUAGAGAAAAAUGAAUACAGGCAUGUCACCUGCCCCGUGCUAUCCUGCAUUAGGCACUCCCUUCUCAGGAGCAAUAGUAAUAGCAAAUUGUAUUGCAGGACAACAGAAGGAGAGCAGCACCCAUUACACAGCUGGUCCUUGAGGGGGAUAAAGUGGGGCAAACUGCCCUUGGGCAGGGAUGGCUGGAGUGAGAGCGGGCUGGAGGGAUGAAGAUGAGGGCAGUGAGGGGCUCGGGGAAGCUUCUCUGGGGCAUGGAGAUAGAAGUUUGUCCCUGGGAGGAGAAUUACAAAAUGUUUUGAAGGAUGAGGCUUUGAGGCUGACUGUGAUGGGUAGGAAGGAAUGGUUUGAAUGGAAACCCCAACUGGAUGAAAGUGGGAAGAGGGAAAAGGAGCUGGAAGAGGGACUGUUAAGUUGCUAGCAGAGUGAGCUGAAGGAAAAAGGGAUGUGGAUGAGCGAGGAGCUGCAGAAGGUGUCAACAGGACACCAAAGGAUAAAUACACUUUUGCCUCACCGUGCCCUUCCCAUCCUGUUUUUCCCUCGUCUAAAAAAACCUAUCUCGGCCCCAUCCUCUGUUUUCUAACUUUCAACAAAGCUAGCCCUAUCGCGGUGGGUGCGUGCAGCUCCUAAGUAUCAAUUCCAGCUCACUUCCUCAAGUUCUUAAGGGAAAAGAAAAAAAAAAAAAACAACCCAACAACAAAACAGAACAAAACAAAAAAAAAAAGAAGCGUGAGCUGUGCUUGGGGCAUCUUUCGAGCCCGGUCAGCGCGCUCCGACAGUGCUGGGGGACGGAGGCGGCCCGCUCCCCUACCGGGAGGAGACAAAGGGCGGCGGCACCCCCGGCCCCGACGUGCGGCUCCGUCCCGGAGAGAGGAGGGGGGACGGACGGACAGAAAGUUCGGCAUCGACGGGGCGGGAGGUGGGGGCGCUGCCCCGCGCCUUUGUUCAGCGGGGAGAGGACCUGCGGCGGAGCAGAGCCGACCGCGCAGAUGGGCACGCAGCCGGCAACGCGGCCCCGAGCCCACGGGACGAGGAGGAGGAGGAGGAGGAGGAGGGAGGCGGAAGGUCCCCUCGCAGCCUCCCUCGCUUUCUCCCUCCCUCCAAGGUCAAAAACAUGGCUGUCUGGAGAAUGGGAUGCUUGCCAAAACAUCAGUCUAUGCUGGGUGCCACUCAUUAUCCUGCCAGUGGUGGAAUACAACUUGGGUCUCCUCAGGAGGUGA